RNAcentral lists this ribosomal RNA (75 nucleotides) under Triticum aestivum (bread wheat). The record is from RNAcentral. Lineage: Eukaryota; Viridiplantae; Streptophyta; Magnoliopsida; Poales; Poaceae.
UAUGAAACCUAUUUGGGCGAGAGUAGUACUAGGAUGGAUGACCUCCUGGGAAGUCCUCGUGAAAGGGUUUCAUAU